This 737-nucleotide ribosomal RNA is filed under the name Malassezia pachydermatis. RNAcentral describes it as "eukaryotic LSU rRNA". The stretch from base 197 to 350 matches the Rfam family "5.8S ribosomal RNA". The record is from RNAcentral. Lineage: Eukaryota; Fungi; Basidiomycota; Malasseziomycetes; Malasseziales; Malasseziaceae.
GAUCAUUAGUGAAUUGCAGGGCCUGCCAUACGGAUGCGCAAGCGUCUCUGGCGCCCAACCCACUAUACAUCCACAAACCCGUGUGCACUUGUGUUGCUUUGCUCCUGUAUGGGGCGAGAGCGCACGCAUUUACAAACUCGUAUGGUUGUAUGUACGUUGUAAACGUUGGACCGUCACUGGCCAACAAACUUUAUACAACUUUCGACAACGGAUCUCUUGGUUCUCGCAUCGAUGAAGAACGCAGCGAAACGCGAUAGGUAAUGUGAAUUGCAGAAUUCCGUGAAUCAUCGAAUCUUUGAACGCACCUUGCGCUCCAUGGUAUUCCGUGGAGCAUGCCUGUUUGAGUGCCGCGAAUUCUCCCACCCCAAACGGUUGCCGAAAGGUACUGUGCGGCGGAGGGGUUGGAUGGGUGCUGCUGCCUGUGGGAAACUACAGGCUCGCCCGAAAUGCAUUAGCGCCUCAGGACACAUUCGCUACUGCUCUACAAAAGGAAGAGCGGCGAAGCGUAUGGGGGAAAACCACCGCCGGUUAUUCCAAACCUCGCCUGACUGUUUGCGCAUGGCAUGAUACGUCAUUUGCUGUGUUGCGUUGGUUGGUGCGUGGGACUGUGUGAGUGCCUCUAGAGCUUUGAGAAGUGUUUCGUGUGCUACGAACUGAAAAGUACAUUCCUUUUUCAUUUCUGGUCUCAAAUCAGGUAGGAUCACCCGCUGAACUUAAGCAUAUCAAUAAGCGGAGGA